CGCCCGACUCGCACACCAGAUCCCUUCACCGCUGCCCUCCAUCCUUCGCCACCGCAGAUCCAUCUCGCCGCCGCCGCCCUCCAUUCCUCUCUUCCCUUCAAGCUUGUCAACGGCGAAGCAUACGGCGCUCCAUCCCUUCGCCUCCAGGAACCUACCACGUGCGCCGAGGCGAGGGUCUCAUGGACUCCGUCCGUCGCCGCUUGGCUGACGACCCCGCCGCCGGGCAGGAGGAGUGUUCCGCGCCGUGAGGAACCCGCCACGCGCGUCAAGGCGAGGCGCCUCCUGGGCUCCGUCCGUUUCCAGAGCGAGCGCCCGCGAAUACCUAGCUAGCCGCCGCCGUCGUGACCGUUCUAGCCACCGCCAAGGUAAAUGGAACACUGGAUUGCUUGUGAUUGGCCUAAUAGGGAGUCUGCAAGACGUGAUUUCUAUUCAAAGCAUCUCAUCCAGAUCACUUUACAAUACUUUUCAUCAUAUUUAGAAAAUGCGUGUAUGCAUAUAAGUUUCGUGAACAUUUUUUUUUGAAUAUCCAGGUCAAUUUAUGCAUAUCCAGAUUACUUUACAAACAGAACAAAUAUGUGUAUUCCUUUUUCUAAAUAUCUAGAAAAGCAUUCCUCCAUGUAAUAGGGUUUUUGAAAGCAGUAUGCAUAUAAGUUUCGUGAACAAUUUUAUUUUGUUAUUGCAACCAUAAGAAAGGAUCUUACUGGAUUGUCCUGGAAAACAUUACUCUUCUAUUGCCGAUAACUGGAUCUGUGUUAACUCAAUAGGGUGAUCUAGCGAGUUAUCUUGAGACAAAAGGUCGCCUGCAAUCUUAUAAAGUGAUCAGACUUGCCCUGAGACUGCAAGGCCAUCUACCAUUCUGCUGCUAUUUGUUAUUAUAUCAUCUUGUUUGUGAACUUAAAAAGGUCCCUCAAAGAGAAGUGUUUUUCAUAUGCUCCUGAAUCUGGUGUGCGGUAUGAUGGAGUUUACAAAAUUGAGAACUGUUGGAGGAAGAUUGGUGUUCAGGUGCCAACAACAAGUGGGGAGAGAAUCAAUGCAACCCUUGCUGAGGAUCUCCAAUUCUUCAAAAGGAGAGAAGGAUCGUCGGACAUGAGCGGCGGCAUCCGGCGCCAGUUCUUAAACCUGGGGCUGUUUGAUGGGCGCAAACGCGCAUAUUCACUGCGCCGCUUGGACCUCUCCAAGAUGGACUUUUUUCAUCGGACCGCACAAGAGGCGCCCACACAUGGCAAGGUGGUGCCAACACUGACGCCCGCCAAGGCAUGUGCGCCCAACAGGAGAAGGAUCUGCAAGACCGACUUGGCGACGGCAGAGGCCGCGGCACCCAAGCCAGUUCUUAAACCUGGGGCUGUUUGACGGGUGCAAACGCGCGUAUUCGCUGCGCCGCUUGGACCUCUCCAAGAUGGACUUUUUUCACCGGACCGCACAAGAGGCGCCCACACAUGGCAAGGUGUUGCCAACACUGACACCCGCCAAGGCAUGUGCGCCCAAGAGGAGAUGGAUCUGCAAGACCGACUUGGCGACGGCAGAGGCCGCGGCACCCAAGAUCAAUCCGCCAAAAAGCGAGCUGCUCGUGAGGCCACCGGAAGUCUCCUACUCCAUCAGGUCUCCUCGUUGUCUUCAUUUCUUGCCCACGACCUCGGAGAGCAAGGUCAUCUUGGCCGAUCGCGCGAACCGCAUGUUACGCUUCGACACCAUUGACGGUUGCAGCUACAUUGAUACAAUGCCUAGCCUCAACGGGUACAAGCACUCGCCGCUGGCCAUCUCUGUCCCUCCGACGGACUUGCACCUCCAUGGACGGCGAAGACACCGGCAACCUCUACAUCAUUGACGCUCACCUGCAAGGUCAACCCCUCCCCCCGGUCCUUCCCCGACAUCAUCAGCGAGUACCUCGGGGCAGAGCCCGCGCUACCGUACCUGAGCCCCUACAUGCGCGGCGAGAACCUGCUCGUCGGUGCCAACUUCGCGUCCGCCGGCGUCGGCAUCCUCAACGACACAGGCGUGCAAUUCUCAAGCUCCACGCGCACGAACACACACAUGCUCGAAUCAUGUAUAUGUAUCUACAAUAAUGCAAUGUUGAUCCUACUUGUUUUCAGGUUACAAUUUCUGUAUAUAUACUACAAUGUUGAUCCAACUUUUCGGCCCUCGUUCUCCUAUCGUAUAAAUAUUUCGGUGAGAAUCUGGGUCCACUUAGCAUGGAGGAGCUUGAGUAAAUUGAGAACCAAAUAGAAAUAUCCCUCAAGUUGUGAAGCAUAUCAGGUCAAGAAUAAUCUCAGGUUCAUCAGCUUUAGAUAUUUUUCUGUUAUACAUGACUUCUCCCAUGUAAAUUGGGUACAUGUCUUUCUACUUGAUAUUAGUGUAACCUGCCAUAUCUCUCCCAUGUAAAUAGACUACCAGAUUUACUUCAUCUCAGUUGUUACUAUCUCUUAGAAAUUCUUUCUGCAUUCAUCAUAGAAGCAAUUAAAUUCACUAUCAGCGAAGUUCACUGCAAGUUUGCUGCACAAUUUUUAUUUGAUAGAUACACGUGAGAUUAUUAUUUUUCUUUACGUUUGUUCAAUAUAUGAAUAAUUCAUUUGAGAACAGAGACAAAACAUGACAAGAAAGGGGAAGAACUAACCUACAUGGAGCUUGGUCAAGAUCGCCACUCAUGUUUGAUGGUAUUGUUUCUGGUUCCACCGACAUUGUUGAUGCCUGUUACCUAUGGCCCUGUUGCUACUUUCCUCGGUCGGUGUCCACCAGCCACUGCAUGCAGACAAUAGAAUUUAGGCCAGCAAUUGUCGCUGAUCUACGCUACAGGUCGACCCAUAGACAGGGAAAGGAGGCGAUGGCUGGUGGGGAGAGGAGCCGAGGGAUGUGUUGUGGCGGGACAAGAGGCGCAGUGGCAGGGAGAGAAGGUGAAGACUACGCCAUGUGAGUUGCUGAAGUUGUGACUUACGCGGUGGGGAUAAGGGACGUGUGAUGUGCUUGUGUGGUGAGAGGCGAGGAGUGGCUUUUCCUUUUUGUGGGAGGCUGUUCAUAUUUGUCUAUUCUAUUUUUAUAUUAAAGAUACAUACAAUUAUCUAUCAUCAUUAUAAUCAAGAUAAUAAAUAUUUAUUUAUUCCAGUAUGUGUUGAAUUAUUUUGUUUUUGAUUUUAAUAUGCUCUCAUGGAAUGGUAAAAAAUUGGUUCAUCCAAUUUACAAGUUGAGUACUCUAUGUUUGCACGUUCUUACGUUUUCGUGUGAAAUCUUCAUGCUAACUGUAUGAAGUACUCAUGCAGGAUGGUUACAAGUCAAUGAAGAUUUUUUUACUAUAAUUGCUCAAGUACUGUGCGAAGGAAGCUGAAGACAAUAUUUCUGAUAUUUUAGGAGAUGCAAGUGAGGUGGAAUAAUGAAAAUACAUUGCAUCAAGUACAUUUUUCAGUUGUUGCUGUAAUUUUUUUCUAUACAUGUGAAAUUGGAAGUGCAUUAUGUUUAUGUAUGCAAUCAGAAAAAAUUAAAAGGCCCGUGGCAACGCACGGGCAUUGUACUAGUAAUUGUAACUUACCAACUUUACGUUGGAGUCAUGUAUUUACACGCUCAUGACCAAACUUCAUAA
Molecule: long non-coding RNA, 3568 nt
Organism: Triticum aestivum (bread wheat)
Lineage: Eukaryota; Viridiplantae; Streptophyta; Magnoliopsida; Poales; Poaceae
Exons: 6
Source: RefSeq, a predicted model, not a curated record